Molecule: ribosomal RNA, 253 nt
Filed under: uncultured bacterium
Lineage: Bacteria
Description: partial 16S ribosomal RNA
Rfam family: Bacterial small subunit ribosomal RNA
Source: RNAcentral
UACGUAGGGUGCGAGCGUUAAUCGGAAUUACUGGGCGUAAAGCGUGCGCAGGCGGCUUUGCAAGACAGAUGUGGAAUCCCCGGGCUCAACCUGGGAACUGCAUUUGUGACUGCAAGGCUAGAGUACGGCAGAGGGGGAUGGAAUUCCGCGUGUAGCAGUGAAAUGCGUAGAUAUGCGGAGGAACACCAAUGGCGAAGGCAAUUCCCUGGGCCUGUACUGACGCUCAUGCACGAAAGCGUGGGGAGCAAACAGG